UACGAAGGGGGCUAGCGUUGCUCGGAAUCACUGGGCGUAAAGCGCACGUAGGCGGACUCUUAAGUCGGUGGUGAAAUCCUGGAGCUCAACUCCAGAACUGCCUCCGAUACUGGGAGCCUUCGAGUCCGGGAGAGGUGAGUGGAACUGCGAGUGUAGAGGUGAAAUUCGUAGAUAUUCGCAAGAACACCAGUGGCGAAGGCGGCUCACUGGCCCGGUACUGACGCUGAGGAGCGAAAGCGUGGGGAGCGAACAGG
This 254-nucleotide ribosomal RNA is filed under the name uncultured bacterium. RNAcentral's name for it is "partial 16S ribosomal RNA". It matches the Rfam family "Bacterial small subunit ribosomal RNA", at positions 524 to 776 of the family's 1533-position model. The record is from RNAcentral.